AAAAAAAGCACUCUAGCUCCCAGACAACUCUCGGCUCUCUCCCUCGCAGAACAAAAAAAAACAUACAGAAAAAAAAGAGAAGGGAGGCACUCGGCUCUCUCUAGUUUCAGGAGACCAAAAAGACAAGCCACAAAAAGAAAAAAAAAGCACUCCAAUCCCUCUGGGCUCACUUGGCAGAGGCAGAAAAAAAAAAAAAAGAAACGCACAAGAGAAGAGGAAGGGAAGCUCUCGGAAUUUUGCAGCCUGCCCCCUCACUCUCCCUCUCUCGGACUUGGGCGGAGGAAAGAAACAGAACAAAAAAAAAAUCUUCCCCAACUCCUCUCGGUUCCAUCUCAACCUCACACACACCUACAUUGAGGUAAUUUUUUAGUUUUUGUCUAGCACAUUAAAUCAAUGCUUCAUUGUUUAGUUUUCUUUCAUUUCUGCUGGCUGCCUUGUAUUGUUGUUGUUGCAUUGCUGAAAAUUGGGAAAUGGCAUGAACUAGAUGAAGGAAAAGGAAAUGAUGUCUGUGAAUGCAUAUUAAUUGUUUGAAAAAAUGCCAAAAAGAUUUUUAGGGACUGUUUUGCCUUAAUGUAGUCUUCUGUUAUUGUUUUCUGGUUAGUUAAAAUCAUAGUUGUAUUGUAGAGGUUAUGAGGAGUAUUGUAAUAUAUUUUUUAUGAUUUUUGGUGAAAGAUUUGGGUGUUUUAAAAAAUAAAAACUGGACUGUAUUUUGACAUUUUGGCCACUUUCAGAUCAUCUUUUGUAAAAACUAACUCCGAAAAUGGAGUCUACGCGAAAAAUCGAGUGAGGGGGUGUAUUUUG
RNAcentral lists this long non-coding RNA (801 nucleotides) under Coffea arabica (coffee). Its description in RNAcentral is "long non-coding RNA (CARA_LNC005487)". Lineage: Eukaryota; Viridiplantae; Streptophyta; Magnoliopsida; Gentianales; Rubiaceae. The record is from RNAcentral.